CAAUGAGGGACGUCUGCAGCGACUGAGAAAGAGUCUCACCACAUCCUGACAUGAGGAAAAAGACUUUAUUGAAGACUACAAUGAGAAAAACUAUCAGACAGCAGACGGCUGCAUUCAAGCUGCUGAAUUCAUGGAUGAAUCAUCUGGCACUAGAGAAGAAGACCAUCAAACAUCCACGUCAGCUGAUGGAGGUCCAAGAGUCUCACCCAACAAACAACCUACAGAGUGAAGACCUCCAAUCUGAUUGGACGGCCUCCUAUUCAGCCACGUUUUAGGCUGUUAGAUUGUUCCAGACAAGUACAAGAUUCUUCAUAGCCGUUCUACCACGAGCCUGACAGGAAGAACUCCAACAGCUACUGAAUGUUCCUGUGGUCCCCUCA
Long non-coding RNA from Amphiprion ocellaris (clown anemonefish), 380 nucleotides. Lineage: Eukaryota; Metazoa; Chordata; Actinopteri; Pomacentridae. The record is from Ensembl.